RNAcentral lists this long non-coding RNA (353 nucleotides) under Elaeis guineensis (African oil palm). RNAcentral's name for it is "long non-coding RNA (EGUI_LNC050427)". The record is from RNAcentral. Lineage: Eukaryota; Viridiplantae; Streptophyta; Magnoliopsida; Arecales; Arecaceae.
CUGGCCUUCCUAUCUCCAGCUUUCUUAUCUCUUUAUCUUCCUUAUAUCUCUUUUUAGGCCCUUGUCCUUAUUAUUUUAAAACUUAUCUUUAUUAUUUUAGAACUUGUCCUAAUAAGGAAAGGAAGAGAAUAAUUGGAUAAUAAGAAAAAAUCUCAUUUAGACUUGUCCUUAUUAUUUUAGAACUUGUCCCAACAAGGAAGGAAGAGAAUAAUUGGAUAAUAAGAAAAAAUCUGAAUGAAUGAGAACCCCGACGCACAUCCCCUUUAUAUUUGAAGACCAGAUGCCAUCGAGAUUGACUUGCACCCUUCCAAGCCAAUUCUUACGCCCAAAUCCACACCGUUCCACCCUGCACA